This is a long non-coding RNA of Falco peregrinus (peregrine falcon), 888 nucleotides long. RefSeq lists it as uncharacterized. The record is from RefSeq and is a predicted model, not a curated record. The transcript is spliced from 3 exons. Lineage: Eukaryota; Metazoa; Chordata; Aves; Falconiformes; Falconidae.
AUCACUUUGAUAACUGUGAUUUUCCCCCCAUCAGACUGCAGCAACACUUCCCUGUCUCUCAGCAGGAUUAUGAAGACAAAAAUCGGUUCAUGAUAGCAAGAUGUUUCAUUUCUACUCCACUAAGGAACUUGAAGACUUCAUACAGGUAACUUCUCAAAUGAUGCGUCCAUGCAGAAGAAGACAUCACUUACACCUCACAUCUCCAUGUUCUGUGUCAGAGAAUCUGCGGACUCCGAGUGUGUAAUAGUGUGAGCGCAACGCAGGGCAGGUCAGACAAGCUGUGAGAGGUGGGAGGACAUGCGGGCAUCAUCUCCCACUCUGCUCCUCUGUUCUCUGCCUAGUCAUUGCACAGGGUCAACCUACACACCACUUCAGAAGAAAGGAGGGAGGUAAGGAAAACAAUCAUUUCAAUGUUAAUAAGGCCAGGAGGGAUGUUAAGCUCCUCGAGUAGCUUGCUAACUGCCACAAUACUAAGGAAUCAAACAAUAAAUAACGUGAUAUGGAGGGAGAGCACUUGGUGGAGCCUAUAGAAUGGCUCAUCCAGUAUUAUCCUAGCUAAGAAGCUGGGAGUUGGAAACAAUCACAGACUGUUACCUUUUUGUCAGAAGGGAUGUUUUUAUAGUAAAGUUUUCUUAGACUUAAUCUUUAAUAUUAACAAUUUUACCACCACAUCAGUAAGUCUCCUCUUUCACACGUGCACACUCCUGUGAUUUUCCUCUCUACACUUACAGAAAAACUAACAGCUUGUUACAAUUCAAAUGUGAUAAUUUUCAUGUGCUAAUCACUUUCCUUAAUGGGGAAUGUUUGCUUUCUCUAAAGUUUAGCCAUUUCCACACCACAGCCAUUUAUGCUCUUCAAAGUCUUACAUAUCAGAGAAUAUCUGUUCUU